Molecule: non-coding RNA, 65 nt
Organism: Meloidogyne enterolobii
Lineage: Eukaryota; Metazoa; Nematoda; Chromadorea; Rhabditida; Meloidogynidae
Source: the annotation of a GenBank genome assembly
GCCUUUAUGGUUUAGUGGGAUAAUUUUGUAAUUUUUGAGUUGAAGGUUCGAACCCUUUUGGGGCA